Molecule: ribosomal RNA, 484 nt
Filed under: Sinuaria aenescens
Lineage: Eukaryota; Metazoa; Arthropoda; Insecta; Coleoptera; Elateridae
Description: partial large subunit ribosomal RNA
Rfam family: Archaeal large subunit ribosomal RNA
Source: RNAcentral
GUCUAAUCUGCUCAAUGAGGAAUUAAAUUGCCGCGGUAUUUUGACCGUGCAAAGGUAGCAUAAUAAUUAGUUUUUUUAUUGAAAGCUGGAAUGAAUGAUUGGACGAGAAAAUAGCUGUCUCUUAAAAAUUUAGUGUUGAAUUUAACUUUUGAGUAAAAAGGCUUAAAUUUAUUUUAAAGACGAGAAGACCCUAUAGAGUUUAAUAAUUUGUUAAUUAUUGAUGUUUUUGGUUAUUUUAGUUAUUAGUAAUUAUAUAAUUAUUUGGUUGGGGUGACUUAAAGAUUAAUAAAACUCUUUUAGAAAUUUUAAAUCAUUGAUUUAUGAAUAAGGAAUCUAGGUUUUCUAAAUAUAAGAUAAAUUACCUUAGGGAUAACAGCGUAAUUUUUUUUUAGAGUUCUUAUUGGAAAAAAAGUUUGCGACCUCGAUGUUGGAUUAAAAUUAAUUUUUGGUGUAGAAGCUGAAAGAUUAGGUCUGUUCGACCUUU